CCUACGGGUGGCAGCAGUGGGGGAUAUUGCACAAUGGGGGGAACCCUGAUGCAGCGACGCCGCGUGGGUGAAGGAGCGUUUCGGCGCGUAAAGCCCUAUCGGCAGGGAAGAAAAUUACGGUACCUGACCAAGACGCCCCGGCUAACUACGUGCCAGCAGCCGCGGGAAUACGUAGGGGGCCAGCGUUAUCCGGAUUUACUGGGGGUAAAGGGGGCGCAGACGGCAAUGCAAGCCCGGAGUGAAAGCCCGGGGCCCAACCCCGGGACUGCUGUUGGAACGGCCUGGCUGGAGUACAGGAGGGGCAGGCGGAAUGCGUAGUGUAGCGGUGAAAUGCGUAGAUAUUAGGAGGAACACCGGUGGCGAAGGCGGCCUGCUGGACUGGGACUGACGUUGAGGCACGAAGGCGUGGGGAGCAAACAGGAUUAGAUACCCGGGUAGUC
RNAcentral lists this ribosomal RNA (440 nucleotides) under uncultured bacterium. RNAcentral's name for it is "partial 16S ribosomal RNA". It matches the Rfam family "Bacterial small subunit ribosomal RNA", at positions 338 to 795 of the family's 1533-position model. The record is from RNAcentral.